CCUACGGGUGGCAGCAGUGAGGAAUAUUGGUCAAUGGACGAGAGUCUGAACCAGCCAAGUAGCGUGAAGGAUGACUGCCCUAUGGGUUGUAAACUUCUUUUAUAUGGGAAUAAAAUGUUCCACGUGUGGGAUUUUGUAUGUACCAUAUGAAUAAGGAUCGGCUAACUCCGUGCCAGCAGCCGCGGUAAUACGGAGGAUCCGAGCGUUAUCCGGAUUUAUUGGGUUUAAAGGGAGCGUAGGUGGAUUGUUAAGUCAGUUGUGAAAGUUUGCGGCUUAACCGUAAAAUUGCAGGUGAAACUGGCAGUCUUGAGUACAGUAGAGGUGGGCGGAAUUCGUGGUGUAGCGGUGAAAUGCUUAGAUAUCACGAAGAACUCCGAUUGCGAAGGCAGUUCACUGGACUGCAACUGACACUGAGGCUCGAAAGUGUGGGUAUCAAACAGGAUUAGAUACCCUUGUAGUC
This 460-nucleotide ribosomal RNA is filed under the name uncultured bacterium. RNAcentral's name for it is "partial 16S ribosomal RNA". It matches the Rfam family "Bacterial small subunit ribosomal RNA", at positions 338 to 795 of the family's 1533-position model. The record is from RNAcentral.